Sciurus carolinensis (gray squirrel) is the source of this 3581-nucleotide long non-coding RNA. RefSeq lists it as uncharacterized. The transcript has 2 exons. The record is from RefSeq and is a predicted model, not a curated record. Lineage: Eukaryota; Metazoa; Chordata; Mammalia; Rodentia; Sciuridae.
CAGGUUCCAACUUGCCAUUCCCCUUACCUCUCUUCUUUGAUUAACAAAGAGUACAAUGAUUAAAAGAAUGAGAUUUGUAGUGAAUCCAAUCCCAACUCCACCCCGUAUAAGCUGUGUUGACAUUUAACCUUUAUGCCUCAGGUUCCUCAUCUGUCACAUGGGGUUCAAGUACCUACCUCGUAGCUUGUGUGAAUUGGAUGAAUUAAUAUAUAAAGAGAGCUCAGCAAAGCUUGGAGCAUGGUAAGGGAUCGAUAAACUAUUAUACUAUUAAUGGAUAGGCUCUUACACCUCUGCAACACCAACAAAUUCUUCGCUUGGGUUUUUAUUCAUCUAUAUAUAUCUGUUCUCAUGUAUCAACUGUAUAAUUAAUUCUGUGUCCCUCAACAAACUGCAACCCUCUCUAGAACCUUGCCACCCAAAAUGUGGCUCACGGACCAGCACCUUGGCAUCCCUGGGACCUGGUAGCAAUGCAGAAACUUAAGCCCAUUGCAGAUUCGACUGCGCGGGAACCACCUGAGAAACUAUAGAAAGUACACAUCCUAGAUUUAAGACUGAAUCACAAGUCGCACGCUCUUCAUACGACUGCAGAUCGUGUUCCUACUACGGCGGAACGCCGGUCUGGAGCCCAUCGCUGGUAGAGUGCCUUGUUUGUCCUUGCUUAGGAGAGGACUCCUGCCAGAAAACAGGCAACACAGAAAUGUCAACCUCUGUAAAGGCGGGCGGAGCACUGGCAAGGGAGCACGAGAGCGCCAGGAAGAACUAGGAAAGAACACAGGAUGUCUCGACCUCUCGUGCAGAACAAGAAGCUGCAAAUGGAUAUAAAGCUCCAAACCCGGUAGCGGGGACACCCGGCCAGCGGCUUAACGGAAAGGGCAAACGAGUUGCCUGAAUUCUGGACUGUGGCCACUACACAGCUACACAUCGCAGCCCUGAGACUAUCUGCCUGGCGGGGUGUGCAGCUCCACGGAAGGGCAUUUAAGAGCCUUGGGAGGCCCUGGUGGCAUCCCCAGCACCGCGCUAGGGAAAAACCGGCUCCGGUGGCCCGGUGCUUGUCACUUCCAGGAAAUUUGCACAUAGGACCCAGGAAUACUGAAGUUUAUUGGUGUAUUGCUUGCAAUUUUAAACAACACUUAUUCACAGCCCACCAGAGAAAAGGAUAUGAGAGACUAAAUACAACCAAGACAACCCUGGGAAUGCGAAGGUGAAAUGCUCAGUCAGGGAUCCCCCUCCAUCUAACUGGGUCGGGCAGCGUCCCCUUGGUGAUUUUUCGUUUUUGAGAUGACUUACUUGAAAUAGCAUUCUUAUUAUUUUUCUCAAAAAAGAAGAAAGAAAUGGUAAAUCAUAGGAGUGUUUAACAAAGUUGAAAUAUACUUCAGUCAUCAAACAAAAACUGUUAAAGUAUAACUUUCUUUCAAAAAAUGAACUUGGAGCCUGGGGAUGUAGCUCACUGGUAGAGCACUUGUCUAGUAUGCCCAAGGCCCUGGGUUCAUCCUGAGUACUGCAAAAACAAAACAAAACAAAAAACCCAAUAAUUUGCAUUUUUCCAUUGCCUUUAUCUCCUAGCACUACAUAAAAUGGUAAAUGAAAUGACUCUUCAAAUAAUGGAAAGCAAAAAUAGCUUUGCUACUUAAAAGCUACAAUUAAUUAAUAAUUCUUUCACUUUGUAUAGUCAAGGUACAUUAUAAGAUUGUCUUGCUGUAAGAUGGUGUUUAAAAUCUUAUUUUAAUGUUGAUCUGAGAAUAGAAUGGAACAGACAGUUUGUACCCCAGUUAGGAGCAGUUAUUUCCUAACUUGAAACUCAACUUUGAUUUUAUUUUUUAACCAAAGAAAUAAAUGGGAGUAAUUUGAGCUCAACAGGAUAAAUCUCUCAGCUGAAUUCUCAAAAUUAUUUCAAGAUUAUAUUUUGUCACUUAUAAAUAAAAGGUACAAAAUUGCAAUAAGCAAUAACCUUACAGAACAAUGUAAUGAAUCCAGCCAGAAUUUAUUUUUCCUCAGAUGCAUAAGCAAUUUAAAAAACACAUGUGUACCCUUUAUUCCUGUAGUGUUAUACCAAUGAGGAAACAGUAACUUGUCAAAGAUACAUUGGGUGAAUUCUUUAUUAAUUCAAAAACAUUUUAGGAAAGUGUAAUGCUUAUGCAUUUUACAAUGAUAUAUCCAUAGGUUUCCACAACAUAGUUAAAUGAAAACAGCUGUUUGAUUUAUUUUGAAAAUUCAAAUAUAUUUAGUUUGAGACUUCUGGAUUUUCUUACAUUGUUGUCAUGCUCAAAUUCUAUUACAUGGUGAAAAUUCUAGCAUUUUGGGGAAGUCUACGAUUGUACAUAGGUAAAAUGAUAAAAUAGAUUCAAGGAAAGGGGAAUAAAAAUUCAGAAUAAUUUAAAUUGGAAAAAUAAUCUUGAUUAUCUAUGCAAUUGAUGAGUAACCACAGUUAUUUUGGCAUUGCAAAAUAACCAAGUGUGGUGCCUUUUAAGAUGUAUUCAUGCACUCAAAACUUUGUAGUCCACUAAUAAAUAUUGGUGGAGUCCAAAAUAUGGAUGUAGAUUACUAAAUAUAAUGAACAUGGUAGUAAGAAAUUAUACACAUUCAAUAUGAUAAAUUUUAUAGAAUCAAACACAUUAAAAUUCUUUUUAGUAUUUAGCAAACAUCUUAAAAUCAUAUACAAGAAACAGUGUAUUUAUGACAAAUAGGUAAAGCCAGGGGUGAAAAUUUCAAGUCUUUUACAAUAUUUCAAUAUUGUGUACAUUGAUCAGUGGAGGGCAUAUAGAAAAGCACUAAGCAAAAUGAUUCCCAAUUUAAAUUACCCCUUAUUACAAUUAAUAAGAUUAAGAUCUUUAAUAUCCAAAAUAUGCAGAGGAAUAAGAUAAUUGCACAGGUAGUUCAAGGAAAAAAAUUUACUUUCGUCUAUUAUGCAAAAAUUCAAGGUAACACUGUUUUAGUUUUAUUCUCCCACUUUAUUUUCCAGUUCAUUGUAUUCAUACCAUUGGUCAGUCAUCCUUUAAUGAACCUAAUAUUAGUACUGAGAAACCCACUCAGAAUUUUUUUUAAGCUCAGUGUAAAUGUCCACUAAAUUUUCCUCCAAUACAACCUUGUAAAAAUGUAUUACUUUAUAGUGGAGAAACCUAACAAGCAGUCCCUCACCUCAGGUGAUCAAGGUCAACAUCAACAGCUAAGAAGAUCCCAAAGUUUGAGAAAGUCUCACAGCAAGAGGAGUCAUGACCAUGACAUGCACUUCUGGUAUCAUGGGACAAGAAUGGUACUUUCUCUCUGGUACUCCUUCCCCAAACCAUAACUACUCUCUAAUCUUGGAAAAGCAUCAGACAAAUCACAACAGAGGAACAGUCUGCAAAAUGCCUGACCAAUACUCUUCAAAACUGUUAAGGUCGGAAACAGGGAGAGAUGUAGAAACCCAGCUAAGAGGAGCCUAAGGAGACAUCCCAACUAAAUGUGAUAGAGUAUGGUAAAUGAGAUUCAGGGACAGAAAAAGACAUUAGAUUAAAAAAAAAAGGAAAUCUAAACAUAGACUUAAUCAAUAAUAUUAAUUGACGAAUGAAUAAUACCCUAUGGUGUGAUGUAUUUGAAGACAU